This 1026-nucleotide long non-coding RNA is filed under the name Mus pahari (shrew mouse). RNAcentral describes it as "predicted gene 17116 (MGP_PahariEiJ_G0003920.1)". Lineage: Eukaryota; Metazoa; Chordata; Mammalia; Rodentia; Muridae. The record is from RNAcentral.
ACAGGAUAAAGGCAGCAGGAUUCAUGUGCAAAAGAGAAGUGAUGGGCUCCUGUGGCAGGGGUCCCUGGACUGCCCCUCCUUCUGCUGGAGUGAAGGAUUGUUUUAUGUUUUUUUUCUCUAAUUAUAUGGAAUUAUCCUAGAGUCCAGUCCAUGUACCAGAGAUUAUUCCCAUGUGAGACUCUGAACUCUUGGAGAAAACACACCCUGCUUUCCAGUCCCACUUGAAACUCUGCAGUGAUCCUCAGGCUUGUCUGGCACCCUCCUAUAACUGCAUAGUGAGCUCAGCUCAUAAAAUCAUCAGUGACUGACUCCCACCCAGUUUGGGACUUUGGAACAGCAUUAGAACACAGGUCCAUCCACAUAAGGACCUGCAUGGAGGAACAGCAUGACCUGCAAAAUGUCCCCUGCUGAUUGACUAUGGGACAAGACAUGCUGUGGUGGUUUGACUAUGCUUAGCCCAGAAGAAGUGGUACUAUGAGGAGGCGUGACCUUGUUGGAAUAGGUAUGGUCUUCUUGGAGGAAGUGUGUCGCUGUCUCGUCAGCCUUUGAGGGCUCCUAGCUCAAGCUCCACCCCGUGCAAAAGAGAACCUCCUCCUUCCCACUGCCAGAGUCUCCUUCUGGCUGCCCUUGGACUAAGAUGUGAAACUCUCGACUCCUUCUCCUGCGAUGUGUCUGCCUGGAUGCCAGCAUGCUUCCUACUAUGAUGAUAAUGGACUGAACCUCUGAAACCAUAAGACAGCCCAGUUAAAGAUUUGCCUUUUGUAAGAGCUGCCUCCAUCACGGUGUGUCUCUUCGCAGCAGAGAAACCCUAAGACAACAUGCUUACCAAGAAGAUGGACAAAAGGGAUUAGUUUGCAGGAGUGACUGGAAAGGGGUCUAGAAGUGGACUGUUGCUUGCUUCUGUAAAGGACAUGUUUCAGAAUUAGCUGAUCCCUCACACCCCCUUGGCCUGAAUCUAUGGCUUUCAAAUAGAACCCUUGGCUUUACAAGAACAAUGCAGAUACUAUCAUGUGGAGCCGAGUCAGU